UCAUACCACUAGACCAAAUGCCCAUUGAUAAUCCUCGCUAACAUUAAAUCUAUAUAGAAAAUAAAAUCCUCGCAUUCUAUCAAAGAGUUUUAUACUACUGAAAUCGGAAGCAUAAUUUCUAGCCCGAGGAGAAAAAUGGCGAGAGCUGCGAUGUUCCGUUUGCUUAGAUCUCAGUCUAAAACCGUCUAUUCAGGCAACCACCUCCCUAGGGUUGGUCCGUGGGCCGAUACACUAUGUUCCAAAACCAAUGCCAACUCUGCAGUGCAGUUUUCUUCCGUACAGAGACGAUUUAUAUCUCGAUCAGCUGCAGUAGCAGACAGGAACAAGAUUAGUAUCGGGCAUGAAAACAGGGGAGAAGAGGGAAGUAAUAUCAAGAACUAUGAGGUUGUUUACAACGGUCCUAUAUCAAAUACAAUCAAGAAAGUGAAGCUCCUCUCACUCUCAACCUGCUGCCUCUCUGUGUCACUAGGCCCCAUUGUCACGUUAAUGACAUCUCAAGCCUCGAAUGUGAUUCUAAAGGGUGCAGUUGCAUCUUCGGUCAUAUUCUUAAGUGCUUCAACCACUGGUGCCCUUCACUGGUUUGUGAGCCCUUAUGUCCACAGACUCAGAUGGCAGCCUGGCUCUGACAGCUUUGAGGUCGACAUGAUGUCGUGGCUGGGCACAUAUUUAACAAGGACCAUCAUGUUUGCAGAUAUCCGACCUGCAGAGACCCAGAGGCCAUAUGUAUCAUUCAAGGCUAAUGGCAAUUUCUACUACAUCGAUGAAGAGCAUUGUGAUAACAAGGCAUUGCUAGCAAGGUUGAACCCUCAUGACCGGUCUCGUGAUACUGCUUUCAAGAACUUGUGAGGUUCCUUAUUUACAGCUGAAGCUCUCCUCCUUUCUCCGCAUGAACUCAUGCAAAACUCUCCCGUGAAGUUUCAGCCUUCAGGCAUGAAAUAAGGUUAUCCCGUGUGGAAGGAUUGGGACUACUGUUUUCUUCUAUGGCAAAAGUAAUAGCUAUAGAAAUGUGAACGAAGCUCGGUUGUGUCUCUAAACCAUGUUCUUUGCACGUCAUGUGUGUAUCUAACUCGACCCCUUGCUCUCCACAUGGCAUGCGCGUAUACUUAACUCGACCCCAUAUUCUUUGCACGCCGUGUGUUUAUUAUCAUCUUAUUUGAUUAUAACUUAUAAGGUUGAAUUGACUUGAGAGAUGUUGAUAUAGGAGCAGUGAGUUUUUUACUCUAUUUUUCCAGAAGAAAUUGUAUAGUUUGAAAAAUAUUUUCUAGUCGUUUGUUUGAUAGAGAGAAUUCGUUGUGUAGCUAUACAUCAAAUCAAUUUGACUAAUCUGUUUUAUUUUCCUUAAACUCCACCAAAUGCUUGAUCUUGGUAAAGUUUAUCUUGC
RNA transcript from Salvia splendens (bonfire salvia), 1381 nucleotides. RefSeq lists it as uncharacterized. The transcript has 3 exons. The record is from RefSeq and is a predicted model, not a curated record. Lineage: Eukaryota; Viridiplantae; Streptophyta; Magnoliopsida; Lamiales; Lamiaceae.